GCUUUAGUUAUAAUGUAAUUAAUAAUACUGGAAACAGGGGCCUAGAGAUCCUCUAUGAAACUAAGCAUAGAGGUGACGGAAAAGUUACCACAGGGAUAACUGGCUUGUGGCGGCCGAGCGUCCAUAGCGACGCCGCUUUUUGAUUCUUCGAUGUCGGCUCUUCCGAGCAUGGUGGAGUAUCAGCCACCAAGUGUGUGAUUGUUCACCAACUAACAGGGAACGUGAGCUGGGUUUAGACCGUCGCGAGACAGGUUAGUUUUACCCUACUGCAUCGCGUCCGAGAGUAGGUCGGGGCAGUACGAGAGGAAGUGCCGAUCAGAACCGCUGGUGAUACUUUCGUCUGUUAAGGCGCGAAGUGUAGCUACGUUCUUCUUAUAAUAGCUGAAAGCCUCUAAGCUAGAAUGAGUACUUAAGGACGCAAAGAUAUGAAGACUACAUAUGUAAGGAUGAGGGUUGUACGAUAUAAGCUUCUGCGAGUAUUUCAGACCACUUAUUUCCUUUUUUAGAACAUGCUUGCUC
Molecule: non-coding RNA, 519 nt
Filed under: Enterocytozoon bieneusi H348
Lineage: Eukaryota; Fungi; Microsporidia; Enterocytozoonidae
Description: Archaeal large subunit ribosomal RNA
Rfam family: Eukaryotic large subunit ribosomal RNA
Source: Rfam by way of RNAcentral